ACCUCUAUUGGAGUCAUCAGCUGAUCUUGCAGGCCGGUUGCCCUUCCACUCUCCACCACUAGAAGAGCCCCAACCUCGUGAAUUAUCCCUAAAAUCUCCUCUUGUAUUACGUCUGCGCUGACCCCACUGAGGUUGCUUAUCAUUCUCUUCAAUGCCAACCUUCUGAGAAUUCCAACCACCAACUGUUGAAGAAUUCCAACCACCAACUUUUGUAGCGUCAUCACGA
RNAcentral lists this long non-coding RNA (226 nucleotides) under Nicotiana benthamiana. RNAcentral's name for it is "long non-coding RNA (NBEN_LNC000762)". Lineage: Eukaryota; Viridiplantae; Streptophyta; Magnoliopsida; Solanales; Solanaceae. The record is from RNAcentral.